Molecule: ribosomal RNA, 601 nt
Filed under: uncultured Bacillus sp.
Lineage: Bacteria; Bacillati; Bacillota; Bacilli; Caryophanales; Bacillaceae
Description: bacterial SSU rRNA
Rfam family: Bacterial small subunit ribosomal RNA
Source: RNAcentral
GGGCAACCUGCCUGUAAGACUGGGAUAACUUCGGGAAACCGAAGCUAAUACCGGAUAGGAUCUUCUCCUUCAUGGGAGAUGAUUGAAAGAUGGUUUCGGCUAUCACUUACAGAUGGGCCCGCGGUGCAUUAGCUAGUUGGUGAGGUAACGGCUCACCAAGGCAACGAUGCAUAGCCGACCUGAGAGGGUGAUCGGCCACACUGGGACUGAGACACGGCCCAGACUCCUACGGGAGGCAGCAGUAGGGAAUCUUCCGCAAUGGACGAAAGUCUGACGGAGCAACGCCGCGUGAGUGAUGAAGGCUUUCGGGUCGUAAAACUCUGUUGUUAGGGAAGAACAAGUACAAGAGUAACUGCUUGUACCUUGACGGUACCUAACCAGAAAGCCACGGCUAACUACGUGCCAGCAGCCGCGGUAAUACGUAGGUGGCAAGCGUUAUCCGGAAUUAUUGGGCGUAAAGCGCGCGCAGGCGGUUUCUUAAGUCUGAUGUGAAAGCCCACGGCUCAACCGUGGAGGGUCAUUGGAAACUGGGGAACUUGAGUGCAGAAGAGAAAAGCGGAAUUCCACGUGUAGCGGUGAAAUGCGUAGAGAUGUGGAGGAA